UGGCCAAGGAUGAGAACUCUAAUCUGAUUAGAUAUGCUUCUGCUCUGAUGGAUUAAAGGAUUUACCUGAGGCCA
This 74-nucleotide small nucleolar RNA is filed under the name Pteropus vampyrus (large flying fox). RNAcentral's name for it is "Small nucleolar RNA SNORD93 (ENSPVAG00000027522.1)". It matches the Rfam family "Small nucleolar RNA SNORD93". From Rfam's summary of the family: The members of this family belong to the C/D class of snoRNAs which contain the C (UGAUGA) and D (CUGA) box motifs. Most of the members of the box C/D family function in directing site-specific 2'-O-methylation of substrate RNAs. Lineage: Eukaryota; Metazoa; Chordata; Mammalia; Chiroptera; Pteropodidae. The record is from RNAcentral.